RNAcentral lists this ribosomal RNA (253 nucleotides) under uncultured bacterium. RNAcentral's name for it is "partial 16S ribosomal RNA". It matches the Rfam family "Bacterial small subunit ribosomal RNA", at positions 524 to 776 of the family's 1533-position model. The record is from RNAcentral.
UACGUAGGGCGCAAGCGUUGUCCGGAAUUAUUGGGCGUAAAGGGCUCGUAGGCGGUCCGUCACGUCGGGAGUGAAAACUCAGGGCUCAACCCUGAGCGUGCUUCCGAUACGGGCGGACUAGAGGUAUGCAGGGGAGAACGGAAUUCCUGGUGUAGCGGUGGAAUGCGCAGAUAUCAGGAGGAACACCGGUGGCGAAGGCGGUUCUCUGGGCAUUACCUGACGCUGAGGAGCGAAAGCUAGGGGAGCAAACGGG